Molecule: ribosomal RNA, 148 nt
Filed under: Hordeum vulgare subsp. vulgare (domesticated barley)
Lineage: Eukaryota; Viridiplantae; Streptophyta; Magnoliopsida; Poales; Poaceae
Source: RNAcentral
GGAUGCGAUCAUACCAGCACUAAAGCAUCGGAUCCCAUCAGAACUCCGAAGAUAAGCGUGCUUGGGCGAGAGUAGUACUAGUAUGGGUGACCUCCUGAGAGUAGUACUAGGAUGGGUGACCUCCUGGGAAGUCCUCGUGUUGCAUUCC